Molecule: transfer RNA, 72 nt
Filed under: Ailuropoda melanoleuca (giant panda)
Lineage: Eukaryota; Metazoa; Chordata; Mammalia; Carnivora; Ursidae
Rfam family: tRNA
About the family: Transfer RNA (tRNA) molecules are approximately 80 nucleotides in length. Their secondary structure includes four short double-helical elements and three loops (D, anti-codon, and T loops).
Source: Rfam by way of RNAcentral
ACCUGACUGGCUCAGUGGGUAGAGCAUGUGACUCUUGAUCUUAGGGUCUGAGUUCAAGCCCCAUGUUGGGUA